GUGGAGUUGGAUCCGGGUCCGGGGGGUUCAGCAUCGCCUGGUGCGUGCAUAUGCAUGUGAGGUGUUGCAAGUCCUCAGCUCCAACCAUGUUGGCGCAUUGGCCCUCUGCAACAAUGGAGGCAUCGCGGCCUUCGCCAGCCUGCUGGGACGCACUCACAACCCUCACACCCUGGAGAAGAUCACCGGCACGCUGUGGAACCUGUCGUGCCACGAGCCUCUGAGGGCUGCGCUGGUGGAGCUCUGCCUCCCGGCGCUGGUGGAGCUCGUGCUGGUGCCAGAGAGCGGCUGGAGGAGCAACGUUGGAGACAAACCCUCCUCACCGUCCUCACCCAGCUCGCCCGUCUCACCCUCCUCACUCAGCUCGCCCGCCUCGCCUUCCGCGGCGUUC
Molecule: non-coding RNA, 388 nt
Organism: Petromyzon marinus (sea lamprey)
Lineage: Eukaryota; Metazoa; Chordata; Hyperoartia; Petromyzontiformes; Petromyzontidae
Source: RefSeq, a predicted model, not a curated record